GAUAAGCGCUGAAAGCAUCUAAGCACGAAACUCACCUCAAGAUGAGAAAUCUUUUAAGGGCCGUGGAAGACUACCACGUUGAUAGGCUACAGGUGUAAAGACAGUAAUGUCAAAGCUGAGUAGUACUAAUAACCCGUAAACUUAUAGU
This 148-nucleotide ribosomal RNA is filed under the name Brumimicrobium salinarum. RNAcentral describes it as "partial 23S ribosomal RNA". It matches the Rfam family "Bacterial large subunit ribosomal RNA", at positions 2763 to 2925 of the family's 2925-position model. Lineage: Bacteria; Pseudomonadati; Bacteroidota; Flavobacteriia; Flavobacteriales; Crocinitomicaceae. The record is from RNAcentral.